RNAcentral lists this long non-coding RNA (1346 nucleotides) under Coffea arabica (coffee). Its description in RNAcentral is "long non-coding RNA (CARA_LNC007047)". Lineage: Eukaryota; Viridiplantae; Streptophyta; Magnoliopsida; Gentianales; Rubiaceae. The record is from RNAcentral.
GCAGAAACAGUCUCCCUUGCUGUAAUCGGGCCCAAUGCCAAUACUUCAGAGACCUUUGUCGGAAAUUAUCAUGGCCUUCCUUGCAAGAACAUUACAAUUUUCCAAGCACUUGGGAGCUACACCAAAAAUGCAGUUUAUAGUCAGGGGUGUGAUGGUGUAAACUGUACUUCACCUGCAACUGUCGAAGCAUUUGGUGUUGCACAAGAGGCAGAUUAUGUUGUUUUAGUUAUGGGAUUGGACCAAUCCCAGGAAAGAGAGGAGCUUGAUCGAACAGAGCUUGUGCUCCCUGGGCAGCAGGAAAUUCUCAUAAAGAACAUUACACUACAUGCUAAGAAUCCAGUAAUACUAGUGUUACUUUCUGGUGGUCCAGUUGAUAUUUCCUUUGCCAGAGAUGAUCCAAGAAUUGGAAGCAUCUUAUGGGCAGGUUAUCCUGGAGAAGCUGGAGGUAUUGCUUUAGCACAAAUCAUUUUUGGCGACCACAAUCCAGGUAAUGCUUAAGACAACAGUGGUGCCUCUGUAACAAAAAUUCCUACUUGGAUAUAAUUACAUUACAUCACAUACUUUAUUGCGUCAACGAUAAGGGGACAAAUCCAAAAAUUUGACAGAUUUCUAAUUUACAAUGCAGGAGGUAGAUUACCAGUAACUUGGUAUCCAGAAGAUUUUAUUAAAGUUCCAAUGACAGACAUGAGGAUGCGAUCUGAACCUUCAACAGGCUAUCCAGGACGCACCUACAGAUUUUACACCGGCCCAAAAGUGUAUGAAUUUGGCGACGGCCUUAGCUACUCCAAUUACACUCACGAAUUUGUUCAUGUCACCCCAGAUAAGAUCUACAUAAACAAGUUAUUACGACCUGCUAAGGCCAUCAAAAGAUCAGCCACCGAUCGUUAUGCAUUAGUUUCUGAACUGGGAAAAGAAUUAUGUGAGAGCAAAAAGUUCUCAACUAAAAUAGCAGUUGAAAAUCAUGGAAAUUUACCUGGCAAGCAUCCAGUACUAUUAUUUGUCAAACAGGCCAACCUCACAAUUGGGAGCCCUCAGAAGCAGCUGAUAGCAUUCCGAAGUGUGAGAUUAGAGGCAGGAGAAAGAGCUCACAUUGACUUUGUUCUGAACCCUUGUCAGCACCUAAGCAGAGCUAACAAAGAUGGUUUAUUGGUGAUUGAAGAAGGAUAUUACCACCUGAUUCUGGAAGAUAAGGAGUAUCCCAUUAAUGUGGUAUUGUGACAGUUGGAAUUCUAUGCCAAAUUGCUGCUGAGAAUAAGGUGCAUUGACAUAGAUUACCGAAAAUCUGCUGCCAAUAAUGGUUUGAGCAAUUCUCCUGUCUAGAUGGCAGUUGCACAUGUGCAUUAAUU